RNAcentral lists this long non-coding RNA (414 nucleotides) under Cercocebus atys (sooty mangabey). RNAcentral's name for it is "lncRNA (ENSCATG00000045664.1)". The record is from RNAcentral. Lineage: Eukaryota; Metazoa; Chordata; Mammalia; Primates; Cercopithecidae.
GUUUUAAAAUUUGAAGACAUCUUUUGGUUUAUUUAAUUCAAAUCUUUAUUUUGCAGAUGAGGAAACAGCAACCCAGAGAGGAGAAGUAACCCACACUGGAUCAUUUCGUGAAGGAGCAAGGCUGAAGACCCAGACCUGCACUUUCUUAGGGGAGGGCUACGGAUCACAUCUUCUGCAAUAUUUCCAAGUCAUCUUUUCAAAAGCACAUAACUGAAAACAGGAGAUGCAUGGUGUGCCUGAAUAAAGUAAGCAUUUCAAGUUAUUGGUUUAGCUUUGCUGAGAUGUAGCACUAGGUCUCUAAGGAAGUGGAUAGAUUAAGAUCACAUUUCAUUGUGAAAAUUUAGAACUUUAAAAUGUUUGCUGUCAUCUAGUUCUAGGUUAUCUCUGGAUAAUUAAUUUCACGGUAUUUCUGUC